RNAcentral lists this ribosomal RNA (253 nucleotides) under uncultured bacterium. Its description in RNAcentral is "partial 16S ribosomal RNA". It matches the Rfam family "Bacterial small subunit ribosomal RNA", at positions 524 to 776 of the family's 1533-position model. The record is from RNAcentral.
UACGGGGGGGGCAAGCGUUGUUCGGAAUUACUGGGCGUAAAGGGCUCGUAGGUGGCCAACUAAGUCAGACGUGAAAUCCCUCAGCUUAACUGGGGAACUGCGUCUGAUACUGGAUGGCUUGAGUUCGGGAGAGGCGAGUGGAAUUCCCAGUGUAGCGGUGAAAUGCGUAGAUAUUGGGAGGAACACCAGUGGCGAAGGCGGCUCGCUGGACCGGUUCUGACGCUGAGGCGCGAAAGCGUGGGGAGCAAACAGG